ACGGAAAUGAAGACUGGCCUUUCCUGUGUCCUCAAGGGAACCGCAAGCCUGCACCCCUAACAGCUGAGCCUUCAAGCAAAUGGAAUGUUGGGCCCUUUCCAAACUCCCACUUAAAAGAAUAUGAGGGAAGUAGGGGGAUGUGUUCUCUUUGUGCGAAACUCUGAAUGGACGCAUUGUGGGAGGCCAGAGGAAAACUUAAUUUGGGACAGCCCAAAUGGUUCUUCAGAAUCUCAUCCUGUCUAUCUAUAGAAGAGUCAGAAGAGAGUCAUUGUUGCACAAAGAGGUGCAUAUCUGGAGAACACAAUCUCAGCUGCCUUUGAACCUAUGUAUGUGUUGAAUUUCUGUGUCAAAGUCCUCACUGAGAUGAAAAUAAGUAAUAACUGUCAUGUGUGCCUCAUGGCCUUAAAACCUUGCAUAUACUAUGGCCCAUACUUUCUCGCUCUGAGAGCCAGAGUGUAGGCAUUCCUACACCCAACUUAGCCACUCAGACAAGGACAGCAACUUAGGAGAUGGCUAAGCAACAGGAUAUAAGGAGUCCAGAUCCUUGAAUGAUAACAUGAAACCUACCCAUCCCACUAACUUGGACUGCUCACUUCAAAACUCUCACAUAAGGGGAAAAGGAUUUGUUUUCUUUAAGCCAUUCUACUUUGGAAACUUUUUGUUACUCUAUCUUAGCUGUACCAUACCCAAUUGCCCUGAAGAAACACAUCUAAAAACCAAGAAGAAAACCAUAAGCCAAAUAGAAAGUGGGCAAAAGUCAUGAAUAGGCAAUUUAUGAAGGAAGAAAUGUAGAUGGCCAAUAAACACAUGGAAACAUUCAAACUUACCAGCAAUUAAGAAACUACAGAUAAUAUUAUAACAAGGUAUCUAAUUGCUUAUCAACUGAAUUCACUAUAUAUAAUGUAUAUGAUUAUAUAUGCAAUGUAUAUAAUGUACUUAUAUCUUAGCAAUUCACUUUCUGGCAUUCAUUUUAAGGAAUUAUUGUUCAGAAUAUGGGAAUUCAUUUAGAGUUGUUAGGUAAUAAUUUAUAUAAAUCAGAAUUGAAAGGAAUUUAUGCUUAAUAUCAGGUUAUUGAAUUAAAUAAAUCUGGGUAGA
Long non-coding RNA from Lutra lutra (Eurasian river otter), 1095 nucleotides. RefSeq lists it as uncharacterized. The transcript is spliced from 4 exons. The record is from RefSeq and is a predicted model, not a curated record. Lineage: Eukaryota; Metazoa; Chordata; Mammalia; Carnivora; Mustelidae.